This 139-nucleotide unclassified non-coding RNA is filed under the name uncultured Leotiomycetes. RNAcentral's name for it is "sequence contains ITS2". The record is from RNAcentral. Lineage: Eukaryota; Fungi; Ascomycota; Leotiomycetes.
CAACCCUCAAGCUCUGCUUGGUGAUGGGCCUCGCCGCUUGGCGGGCCUCAAACGCAGUGGCGGUGCCGGCUGGCUCCAAGCGUAGUAAUCUAUUCUCGCUUUGGGGACGACCUGGUGACCCUCCAGAACGACCCUUCUA